This 495-nucleotide ribosomal RNA is filed under the name uncultured eukaryote. Its description in RNAcentral is "bacterial SSU rRNA". It matches the Rfam family "Eukaryotic small subunit ribosomal RNA", at positions 636 to 1121 of the family's 1831-position model. The record is from RNAcentral.
AAUUGGUUGUUAUAUCUACCACUAAUAAGACAGAGAGGGUUAACUUCAAAGUAAGUUAUGUGGAUCAAGGUAUGGUGAUUAAUUGGAGUUCUAGUUCAUUUACUUUUGAGAAAAUUAGAGUGUUUUAAAGCAGCCUCUUGGGGCACUGAAUACAUUAGCAUGGGAUAAUAAAUAGGAUCUUCACAAUAUAUUUUAUUGGUUUAAAUUGCGUAUGAAGAUAAUGAUUAAUAGGGACAGUUGGGGGUAUUCAUAUUGGGUGGUUAGCGGUGAAAUGCUCGGAUCCAUUCAAGAUGAACUAAAGCGAAAGCAUUUACCAAGGAUGUUUUCAUUAAUCAAGAACGAAAGUUAAGGGGAUCGAAGACGAUUAGAUACCGUCGUAGUCUUAACUAUAAACUAUGCCGACCAGGGAUAUGAGUUGUUAGGAAUAUACGAAAGUAUAUUCAAUUUCUUCUUAUGGACCUUGUGAGAAAUCAUAAGUUUUUGGGGUUCUGGGGG